Molecule: unclassified non-coding RNA, 328 nt
Filed under: soil metagenome
Description: partial contains 5.8S ribosomal RNA, internal transcribed spacer 2, and large subunit ribosomal RNA
Rfam family: 5.8S ribosomal RNA (bases 1-120)
Source: RNAcentral
GAUGAAGAACGCAGCGAAAUGCGAUAAGUAGUGUGAAUUGCAGAAUUCAGUGAAUCAUCGAAUCUUUGAACGCACAUUGCGCCCUUUGGUAUUCCUUAGGGCAUGCCUGUUCGAGCGUCAUUUAAACCUUCAAGCUCAGCUUGGUGUUGGGUGACUGUCCGCUUCACCGCGGACUCGCCUCAAAAUUAUUGGCGGCCGGUACAUUGGCUUCGAGCGCAGCAGAAACGCGAACUCGGGCCCGUCGUAUUGGCUCCCAGAAGCUAUCUUCACAAUUUUGACCUCGGAUCAGGUAGGGAUACCCGCUGAACUUAAGCAUAUCAAUAAGCGA